RNAcentral lists this transfer RNA (73 nucleotides) under Nanobdellota archaeon. Its description in RNAcentral is "tRNA-Pro". It matches the Rfam family "tRNA". Rfam says of the family: Transfer RNA (tRNA) molecules are approximately 80 nucleotides in length. Their secondary structure includes four short double-helical elements and three loops (D, anti-codon, and T loops). The record is from RNAcentral. Lineage: Archaea; Nanobdellati; Nanobdellota.
GGGGCUGUAGUAUAGUUUGGUAGUACGUGAGGUUUGGGACUUCAUAACCCCAGUUCAAAUCUGGGCAGCCCCA